RNAcentral lists this non-coding RNA (234 nucleotides) under Thermoanaerobacterium saccharolyticum. RNAcentral describes it as "T-box sequence". It matches the Rfam family "T-box leader". From Rfam's summary of the family: Uncharged tRNA acts as the effector for transcription antitermination of genes in the T-box leader family. T-boxes are found upstream of many aminoacyl-tRNA synthetase genes and some amino acid biosynthetic genes usually in Gram-positive bacteria. Lineage: Bacteria; Bacillati; Bacillota; Clostridia; Thermoanaerobacterales; Thermoanaerobacteraceae. The record is from RNAcentral.
AAAAAGGCAAUGAAGGGAAGAGUAGAAAGGAAUUUCUCUUAAAGAGAGCUGGGUUAAGGUGAAAGCCAGCAGAGAAUGAACUUUUGAACAUGGACCUUGAGCUUCAAAGCUGAAACUAAGUAGGCUUUGGCGGGAUUUCCCGUUACAGAGUAGGAGUGUGACAGCACUUUACGAGGCAUACUGCCGUGAGGCGUAUGUGAAAAGGGUGGUAUCGCGAUCAAACUCGCCCCUUAG